UUAAGCGACUAAGCGUACACGGUGGAUGCCCUGGCAGUCAGAGGCGAUGAAGGACGUGCUAAUCUGCGAUAAGCGUCGGUGAGGUGAUAUGAACCGUUAUAACCGGCGAUUUCCGAAUGGGGAAACCCAGUGUGAUUCGACACACUAUCAUUAACUGAAUCCAUAGGUUAAUGAGGCGAACCGGGGGAACUGAAACAUCUAAGUACCCCGAGGAAAAGAAAUCAACCGAGAUUCCCCCAGUAGCGGCGAGCGAACGGGGAGGAGCCCAGAGCCUGAAUCAGUGUGUGUGUUAGUGGAAGCGUCUGGAAAGGCGCGCGAUACAGGGUGACAGCCCCGUACACAAAAAUGCACAUACUGUGAGCUCGAUGAGUAGGGCGGGACACGUGGUAUCCUGUCUGAAUAUGGGGGGACCAUCCUCCAAGGCUAAAUACUCCUGACUGACCGAUAGUGAACCAGUACCGUGAGGGAAAGGCGAAAAGAACCCCGGCGAGGGGAGUGAAAAAGAACCUGAAACCGUGUACGUACAAGCAGUGGGAGCCUCUUAAUGGGGUGACUGCGUACCUUUUGUAUAAUGGGUCAGCGACUUAUAUUCUGUAGCAAGGUUAACCGAAUAGGGGAGCCGAAGGGAAACCGAGUCUUAACUGGGCGUUAAGUUGCAGGGUAUAGACCCGAAACCCGGUGAUCUAGCCAUGGGCAGGUUGAAGGUUGGGUAACACUAACUGGAGGACCGAACCGACUAAUGUUGAAAAAUUAGCGGAUGACUUGUGGCUGGGGGUGAAAGGCCAAUCAAACCGGGAGAUAGCUGGUUCUCCCCGAAAGCUAUUUAGGUAGCGCCUCGUGAAUUCAUCUCCGGGGGUAGAGCACUGUUUCGGCAAGGGGGUCAUCCCGACUUACCAACCCGAUGCAAACUGCGAAUACCGGAGAAUGUUAUCACGGGAGACACACGGCGGGUGCUAACGUCCGUCGUGAAGAGGGAAACAACCCAGACCGCCAGCUAAGGUCCCAAAGUCAUGGUUAAGUGGGAAACGAUGUGGGAAGGCCCAGACAGCCAGGAUGUUGGCUUAGAAGCAGCCAUCAUUUAAAGAAAGCGUAAUAGCUCACUGGUCGAGUCGGCCUGCGCGGAAGAUGUAACGGGGCUAAACCAUGCACCGAAGCUGCGGCAGCGACACUAUGUGUUGUUGGGUAGGGGAGCGUUCUGUAAGCCUGUGAAGGUGGACUGUGAGGGAUGCUGGAGGUAUCAGAAGUGCGAAUGCUGACAUAAGUAACGAUAAAGCGGGUGAAAAGCCCGCUCGCCGGAAGACCAAGGGUUCCUGUCCAACGUUAAUCGGGGCAGGGUGAGUCGACCCCUAAGGCGAGGCCGAAAGGCGUAGUCGAUGGGAAACAGGUUAAUAUUCCUGUACUUGGUGUUACUGCGAAGGGGGGACGGAGAAGGCUAUGUUGGCCGGGCGACGGUUGUCCCGGUUUAAGCGUGUAGGCUGGUUUUCCAGGCAAAUCCGGAAAAUCAAGGCUGAGGCGUGAUGACGAGGCACUACGGUGCUGAAGCGACAAAUGCCCUGCUUCCAGGAAAAGCCUCUAAGCAUCAGGUAACAUCAAAUCGUACCCCAAACCGACACAGGUGGUCAGGUAGAGAAUACCAAGGCGCUUGAGAGAACUCGGGUGAAGGAACUAGGCAAAAUGGUGCCGUAACUUCGGGAGAAGGCACGCUGAUAUGUAGGUGAAGCGACUUGCUCGUGGAGCUGAAAUCAGUCGAAGAUACCAGCUGGCUGCAACUGUUUAUUAAAAACACAGCACUGUGCAAACACGAAAGUGGACGUAUACGGUGUGACGCCUGCCCGGUGCCGGAAGGUUAAUUGAUGGGGUUAGCGGUAACGCGAAGCUCUUGAUCGAAGCCCCGGUAAACGGCGGCCGUAACUAUAACGGUCCUAAGGUAGCGAAAUUCCUUGUCGGGUAAGUUCCGACCUGCACGAAUGGCGUAAUGAUGGCCAGGCUGUCUCCACCCGAGACUCAGUGAAAUUGAACUCGCUGUGAAGAUGCAGUGUACCCGCGGCAAGACGGAAAGACCCCGUGAACCUUUACUAUAGCUUGACACUGAACAUUGAGCCUUGAUGUGUAGGAUAGGUGGGAGGCUUUGAAGUGUGGACGCCAGUCUGCAUGGAGCCGACCUUGAAAUACCACCCUUUAAUGUUUGAUGUUCUAACGUGGGCCCCUUACCGGGGUUGCGGACAGUGUCUGGUGGGUAGUUUGACUGGGGCGGUCUCCUCCUAAAGAGUAACGGAGGAGCACGAAGGUUGGCUAAUCCUGGUCGGACAUCAGGAGGUUAGUGCAAUGGCAUAAGCCAGCUUGACUGCGAGCGUGACGGCGCGAGCAGGUGCGAAAGCAGGUCAUAGUGAUCCGGUGGUUCUGAAUGGAAGGGCCAUCGCUCAACGGAUAAAAGGUACUCCGGGGAUAACAGGCUGAUACCGCCCAAGAGUUCAUAUCGACGGCGGUGUUUGGCACCUCGAUGUCGGCUCAUCACAUCCUGGGGCUGAAGUAGGUCCCAAGGGUAUGGCUGUUCGCCAUUUAAAGUGGUACGCGAGCUGGGUUUAGAACGUCGUGAGACAGUUCGGUCCCUAUCUGCCGUGGGCGCUGGAGAACUGAGGGGGGCUGCUCCUAGUACGAGAGGACCGGAGUGGACGCAUCACUGGUGUUCGGGUUGUCAUGCCAAUGGCACUGCCCGGUAGCUAAAUGCGGAAGAGAUAAGUGCUGAAAGCAUCUAAGCACGAAACUUGCCCCGAGAUGAGUUCUCCCUGACUCCUUGAGAGUCCUGAAGGAACGUUGAAGACGACGACGUUGAUAGGCCGGGUGUGUAAGCGCAGCGAUGCGUUGAGCUAACCGGUACUAAUGAACCGUGAGGCUUAACCUU
This 2902-nucleotide ribosomal RNA is filed under the name Escherichia coli KTE178. RNAcentral describes it as "bacterial LSU rRNA". It matches the Rfam family "Bacterial large subunit ribosomal RNA". Lineage: Bacteria; Pseudomonadati; Pseudomonadota; Gammaproteobacteria; Enterobacterales; Enterobacteriaceae. The record is from RNAcentral.